Homo sapiens (human) is the source of this 4741-nucleotide long non-coding RNA. RefSeq lists it as uncharacterized. The transcript has 2 exons. The record is from RefSeq and is a predicted model, not a curated record. NCBI's taxonomy places the organism in Eukaryota, Metazoa, Chordata, Mammalia, Primates, Hominidae.
AAAAUAAUUUCUAUUUCUUUGCUGCAUUUUUCUAUUUUUUCAGUUUGUUUCAAGAGAAUUUUAACCACAUGUGGAGGCAUUUUUAUGAUGCCUGCUUUAAAGUUCUUUUCAGAACAUUCCAAAAACUGAUAUUGCCUUUUCUCAUUCAAAUUGUGGUCUCCUGGUUCUUGGCUUUUGUGGAGUUUUCAGUUGUAGCCUAGCCUUUUUGGAUAUUAGGCUAUGAGCCUCUACAUCCUAUCCAAUCAUCUUUUUUAGCAAGCAUUGCCCCUGGAGGUAGCACAAGGGCCAGGUGGGUGACUGUGUCCAUCUUCCCACUGAGCCCUGCCAGUACCAGUGUGAACAUUGAGCAAGCCAAAUUCACACCACCUCCUUGGACUGCAGGGGAUAAAGGUUCAGCCUUUCUUCGUUGUUGACCCCUUCUGGGUAGAAGUUGGGCACUAAUUCACACCACCUCAUUGCCUACAAGGUUCAGGAGCUCAGCUCAGCUCUUUGCUAGGCUCUGUUGACCCUGGGGAGUGAGAAGCAGAGGGCUGACUUCCGUCAUGGGAGUAGAGGCUCAACUCACCCUGGACCCCCUGACUCUACCAUGGCAGGGAGACUUGUGUGUCUCACUUGUGUCCCCGGGCAGAGGGUGCACCAUGAGCUCCCUGCUCAACCCCACCACAGCGGGCCACCACCUGCUCUGUGGUAGAGGGGGCAGGUGGAAAAUCAGCACCUGCCAGGCCACCGACACAGGUAGGAGUGGUUUGUUUUUUUUUCUUGAUAUUUGACUGGAGUAGGGGUGGCAUUGCCAAAAGGUUUUCUGUCCUUAGCUCAGCUUUCCUGGCCCGAGGCUUAGCAUGCCAGCCUGCCUGGGGCCUUCUGAGUCUGUGCCUGUGGUGGUCUGGCGGGAGGCUCUGUGGCUGCGCCUGGGAUACUGGGAGGCAACACCACGUGUGGUUUCCCAGGUUCCUAGGCAGCGGCCCCUUGUCAGUCUCCCCAAGUGCAUUUGUUGUGUUGUGUCAGGGCAUUUUUUGUCUUGAGAGGAGGACCUGGAGGAGUGGGACUGCUCCAUCUUGGUGGAGCUACAAGCAAUCAUGCAUUGAUGAUUUUGUAUUAUUUUACUUGGUGAAGAGUUCUCAUAAAAACCUGAAAAUGACUCAAAAAUUCCUUCUGGGGCUGAAAUUCUCAGUCUUUGUCAUUUCAACUAGGUGGGAAACAAAUCCUGUCCCAUUCAUUGCAUUCCUAAGGCUGUUGGUCUUUAUGUUGCUACCCCAGAGAGGCAGGGAUUGCUUUAGAGUUGAAUGUGGACACCCAGCCACCUGGCUUCACCUCCUGGCUCACUUAACAAUUAAACAAUUCUACUUAAACAAUCUACUUGGCCUGUCUUUGCCUCAGUCUGCUUAUCUGUAGAGAGGGGACAGUAACAGUGUUAAAAAGUGCCUGGCAGAGAGUAAAUACUAUACCUUGCUAUUACUAUUAUUCCUUGGCUUUGCAAAUGUUAUACCCAUGAAUUCCCUCCUCCUAUGGAAUUCUCUCUUUUAAUCUCAUGUAUUUUCUCACUCAGACUCAGCUAUCUAAAUUAACGUGAGUUUGGAACUGGGAAGUAUCAGGUACAGAAAAGGCAUGGGAUUAGGGACCUUCAGCUCUGUGAGGGGCGCAGGAGAUCUGAAGAACAGCCUGGAAGAAGGAUGUGGAUGGUAAGUCAUCGCCUUUGUCCACUUGAGUGUUUUUUAGAGAACUCUAACAAGGGAUUGCAUGAAGAAAUUCGAUACAAACAACUAUGUGUCAGUGAGUCUGGGUUCAAAUAAUAAUUUCCCAACAGACCUUCAAAAAUACUGUCCAACUUUCUUGUCCACUCAGCCAAACCCGGUCUUCCGGAAGUGAGCGAGAGUUCAUCCUUUCCCAGCGGGUGCAGGUAGAAGGAACAGUGUUCAGAGGGUCCAGGUAUUCCCUCCAUCUGCUGUGUCAUAAGUGAUCUACAGGGGGCUUUUGGCUCCCUGCAUUUGCUUGGUUCUUUUAAAAGUGUUAAAAAUAAAGCAUUUACAUCAUUCUUUCAUACACUUAUUAUAGUAUUAUUCAUCUUAGACCAAAGUCUCAUUCUAGUAUUUUUGAUUAUAGGCAAGGCAAUGGUCCAGAUACUUUCUAAAGCAAAACUGCUUUCUGUAUAUAUUGAAGAAAACCAAUGGGAAGAAGAUGUCUAAAGCAAGCAUGUGUGAAGGCCUAGGGCUUUUUGUAUCAGUAUAAACAAAAUGCAGCAGGGCAUGUCCAUGAGUUUCUUUUUGCCAUACUGAUGAAAGACUAGAGAUGAAAAAGUUACACUGUUCUUUGUGGGGGGAGGAGUAAGCAUUAGGAUGAAAGUCACUUCCAGAAACCACUAGGUAGGCAUGAGGUUGUAAGGAAGGCUACGCUCCUGGCUUCCUUCCAUAUUCGUGGUUUUAUCCUACUGCCCCUGCCAGACCUCUUAUCAUAGCUAUAAACAUUUCUAUAGCUAUAAGCAUAUUUUCAUUUGCAUGACCUUCACUUAUUUCUGCAAAGUCCAUAGCUAAAAGUCUUGGACACAGCCGUCACGUGCUGCUCCAGCCAACUUCCCAUGAGGUCAGUCCUUAUGCAUCGCCAUCCUGACUGUUGGUGGCCGCAGCGCUCAUCCUCAGCCCCAGGUGUGCAACAAAAAAGGAGCUUCUCCCAACUCCUAAUUGCAUGGAAAGGCUGCAGGUAUUUCCUGGCUUUACUUGCAUAACCUUUAGGUAUGUGUUGUCUGAAACCACGUCUUUCCCAUAUUGAUUUUUCAUGAGGGAGGGACAUAAUUCUGACAGAGAUGUAAAAAGCAACAAAAAUGUUCCUCCUUCACCAACAUAGAGCCUCCUGCUCUAUACCAAACACAGGGAUACAGAGAUGAAUGGCAUGGCCAGGCACGUACAGUGCGAGGGGCUGCAGGCCUGCAUGUGGAAUGUCUCAUCACAGCCUCCAGUUGUCCCAGUAGCAUGCACAGAGGGCACGGGUGAGUCUGGAGGAGCCAUUGAAGACUUCUCUAGGGAGAGACGUUUGUGUGAGAUCACAGACGAUGUGUGGGCAUGUGCCAGGUGGCAAAGAAGAGAAGGCUUGUGAGGAAUGAAACUUGGCAUUCAUAAAACCAGUGUUUUUCUCAAAAGCCAGUGUCUUGCAUUUAAGUGGGAUUAGAAAUAAAUAUUCCCAACACAUGCAGGUGAGGAAGAUCUGUGGCCCAGGGCAGCCCAGGAGAGAGGACCUUUCUCUGCCAGGACAGAUCCCCUUCAGGAGGCCCCUGAUGGAAAGGCAGUGGUGGGCCUGGGGAUUCCAGGAUGUUGGACUCCUGCCCUGGAUGGAGAGGCUCAAUUUAGGUGAGAAAACCAGCGAUGGGCUUUGGGGCUUCCCUCACCUGUAGAUUUCAGAUACAGCAGGUAAGGGACAGAUCUGGAAAACUACAGAAGGAGUGGGGCCUGGGGUUCAAAUGAGGAAGACUCAUGGAAACAGUGGUGAUGAGAGGCCAGUAGACACCAAUGACCUCAGCCUCCAGAGAACCCUACAAACGCUGACCCAAGAUGCGGUCAGAUGCAGCCCUUCCUGGUUGAUUAAUUUUUGGGCUGCCCAAGUGUGGGGGUGCACACACCAGUGCAGCCCAGGAUUUUGUUUUCACAGUGACACCUCUCAUCUUCUCUAGGCUUCUCACCUCUUAGCCUGGGCUGUCAUCCAGGUCUUGGAGAAGUCAAGCAACUUGUCAUGGGCAGGAAAAGACAGCCCAGAACCCAGAACCUGGAAAUACUGAUAUUUGGGGGAGAGGGUCAUGUUUCCCCCAGACAUCUCUGCCCCAGCCCUCAGCUGUUGGGAUGAAGAGGUGCUACCCGAUUACUAAAUGGAUCCCCUUCCACCUGGAAGUGUGCGCCUCCAAAAGCAGUGGCAGGUUCUGCUUCACACCCCAAGAAUGACGCCUGGCAUACACUGAUCCUGCUGCCUUAGGAGGAGAUACUCAAGCGCUGGAAGUCUGCCCUGCCUGCAGAAAAGGCUCCGUUCAGCAGCUGCAUACUGCAUUUUCCAUGUGUAUGUGACUUUAACACAGGGGAGAGAGAGGGCUACUGUCUUGCCACCCAGAUGUGUAUUAUAGAUGUACACGGGACUAGUAUCCAUGUGUACAGCAUCCUGUAUGGUGUGUAUGCAACAUGCAUACCAUAUAUAGGUAAUGUGUUGAGAUCUGGGCAGACUUCCGAUAGCGUUUGCAUGAGUAAGGAAACCUGCCUGUCUCUUGGUCCUUUUAAUGGUGACCUGACCUGAAUAGCUGUUUACAUUUUUUUAUUUAAAAAAAAAUCUCCAAAGCAAUGGUCUCCACGUGCCAGUCCCUGAACAAUGAAGUUUUCAACAGCUUCCAUAAAAACAAAUAAAGCAGGACAAUGUACAGUUAGCCCUCCAUAUCCAUGGGUUCUGCAUUCCUGGAUUCAACUAACUGCAGAGCAAAAAACAAAAAAAUUUUAAUGCAUCUGUACUGAACAAGUGCAGAGGUUUUUGGUUACUAUUCCCUAAACAAAACAGUAUGACAACUAUCAACAUUGCAUUUUCAUUGUAUUUGGUAUUGUAAGUAAUCUAGAAAUGGGAAGAUGUGUGAAGGUUAUCUGCAAAUACAACACCAUUUUAUAUCAGAGACUUUAGCAUCCAUGGAUUCUGGGAUCCAGGGGGGUUCCUGGAACUAGUCUCCCAUGGAUACCAAGGGACGACUGUACUGUUUUCAGAAAAUAAACUAUAAUCAACCUGA